RNAcentral lists this ribosomal RNA (1588 nucleotides) under Acinetobacter seifertii. RNAcentral describes it as "bacterial SSU rRNA". It matches the Rfam family "Bacterial small subunit ribosomal RNA". The record is from RNAcentral. Lineage: Bacteria; Pseudomonadati; Pseudomonadota; Gammaproteobacteria; Moraxellales; Moraxellaceae.
GAUGAGCCAGAAUUGGUACCUUGUCUUUAAAUAAGGUGCAAAAUGAUUUUAACUGAAGAGUUUGAUCAUGGCUCAGAUUGAACGCUGGCGGCAGGCUUAACACAUGCAAGUCGAGCGGAGAGAGGUAGCUUGCUACUGAUCUUAGCGGCGGACGGGUGAGUAAUGCUUAGGAAUCUGCCUAUUAGUGGGGGACAACAUCUCGAAAGGGAUGCUAAUACCGCAUACGUCCUACGGGAGAAAGCAGGGGAUCUUCGGACCUUGCGCUAAUAGAUGAGCCUAAGUCGGAUUAGCUAGUUGGUGGGGUAAAGGCCUACCAAGGCGACGAUCUGUAGCGGGUCUGAGAGGAUGAUCCGCCACACUGGGACUGAGACACGGCCCAGACUCCUACGGGAGGCAGCAGUGGGGAAUAUUGGACAAUGGGGGGAACCCUGAUCCAGCCAUGCCGCGUGUGUGAAGAAGGCCUUAUGGUUGUAAAGCACUUUAAGCGAGGAGGAGGCUACUUUAGUUAAUACCUAGAGAUAGUGGACGUUACUCGCAGAAUAAGCACCGGCUAACUCUGUGCCAGCAGCCGCGGUAAUACAGAGGGUGCAAGCGUUAAUCGGAUUUACUGGGCGUAAAGCGCGCGUAGGCGGCUAAUUAAGUCAAAUGUGAAAUCCCCGAGCUUAACUUGGGAAUUGCAUUCGAUACUGGUUAGCUAGAGUGUGGGAGAGGAUGGUAGAAUUCCAGGUGUAGCGGUGAAAUGCGUAGAGAUCUGGAGGAAUACCGAUGGCGAAGGCAGCCAUCUGGCCUAACACUGACGCUGAGGUGCGAAAGCAUGGGGAGCAAACAGGAUUAGAUACCCUGGUAGUCCAUGCCGUAAACGAUGUCUACUAGCCGUUGGGGCCUUUGAGGCUUUAGUGGCGCAGCUAACGCGAUAAGUAGACCGCCUGGGGAGUACGGUCGCAAGACUAAAACUCAAAUGAAUUGACGGGGGCCCGCACAAGCGGUGGAGCAUGUGGUUUAAUUCGAUGCAACGCGAAGAACCUUACCUGGCCUUGACAUAGUAAGAACUUUCCAGAGAUGGAUUGGUGCCUUCGGGAACUUACAUACAGGUGCUGCAUGGCUGUCGUCAGCUCGUGUCGUGAGAUGUUGGGUUAAGUCCCGCAACGAGCGCAACCCUUUUCCUUAUUUGCCAGCGAGUAAUGUCGGGAACUUUAAGGAUACUGCCAGUGACAAACUGGAGGAAGGCGGGGACGACGUCAAGUCAUCAUGGCCCUUACGGCCAGGGCUACACACGUGCUACAAUGGUCGGUACAAAGGGUUGCUACACAGCGAUGUGAUGCUAAUCUCAAAAAGCCGAUCGUAGUCCGGAUUGGAGUCUGCAACUCGACUCCAUGAAGUCGGAAUCGCUAGUAAUCGCGGAUCAGAAUGCCGCGGUGAAUACGUUCCCGGGCCUUGUACACACCGCCCGUCACACCAUGGGAGUUUGUUGCACCAGAAGUAGCUAGCCUAACUGCAAAGAGGGCGGUUACCACGGUGUGGCCGAUGACUGGGGUGAAGUCGUAACAAGGUAGCCGUAGGGGAACCUGCGGCUGGAUCACCUCCUUAA